GUGAUGAGCAACAUUCACCAUCUUUCGUUUGAGUCUCACGGCCAUGAGAUCAACCCCAUGCACCGCUCUGAGACCUGCCAGCCACUCUUCCCCAGGGUUGGGGACUCCAGGCUCAAGAAGUGGAUUUCUAUUAGGCUAGAUUUUCAUUUAAACGUGAACUUAGCUCUGGCCGGAAGGUGGUGGUCGUACGCUGCGAAGGCAUCAACAUUUCUGGCAAUUUCUACAGAAACAAGUUGAAGUACCUGGCUUUCCUCCGCAAGCGGAUGAACACCAACCCUUCCCGAGGCCCCUACCACUUCCGGGCCCCCAGCCGCAUCUUCUGGCGGACUGUGCGAGGCAUGCUGCCUCACAAGACCAAGCGAGGCCAGGCUGCCCUGGACCGCCUCAAGGUGUUUGACGGCAUCCCACCGCCCUACGACAAGAAAAAGCGGAUGGUGGUUCCUGCUGCCCUCAAGGUCGUGCGUCUGAAGCCUACAAGAAAGUUUGCCUAUCUGGGGCGCCUGGCUCACGAGGUUGGCUGGAAGUACCAGGCAGUGACAGCCACCCUGGAGGAGAAGAGGAAAGAGAAAGCCAAGAUCCACUACCGGAAGAAGAAACAGCUCAUGAGGCUACGGAAACAGGCUGAGAAGAACGUGGAGAAGAAGAUUGACAAAUACACACAGGUCCUCAAGACCCACGGACUCCUGGUCUGAGCCCAAUAAAGACUGUUAACUCCUA
This is an RNA transcript of Rhinopithecus roxellana (golden snub-nosed monkey), 717 nucleotides long. It is a transcript of the gene named 60S ribosomal protein L13a pseudogene, with no coding region annotated. The transcript has a single exon. The record is from RefSeq and is a predicted model, not a curated record. Lineage: Eukaryota; Metazoa; Chordata; Mammalia; Primates; Cercopithecidae.